This 464-nucleotide ribosomal RNA is filed under the name uncultured bacterium. Its description in RNAcentral is "partial 16S ribosomal RNA". It matches the Rfam family "Bacterial small subunit ribosomal RNA", at positions 28 to 507 of the family's 1533-position model. The record is from RNAcentral.
GACGAACGCUGGCGGCGUGCUUAACACAUGCAAGUCGAACGGAAAGGCCCCUUUGGGGGUACUCGAGUGGCGAACGGGUGAGUAACACGUGAGUAACCUGCCCUUGACUUCGGGAUAACUUCAGGAAACUGGGGCUAGUACCGGAUAGGAAUCCUUGCUGCAUGGUGGGGGUUGGAAAGCUUCGGCGGUUUUGGAUGGACUCGCGGCUUAUCAGCUUGUUGGUGGGGUAGUGGCUUACCAAGGCUUUGACGGGUAGCCGGCCUGAGAGGGCGACCGGCCACAUUGGGACUGAGAUACGGCCCAGACUCCUACGGGAGGCAGCAGUGGGGAAUAUUGCACAAUGGGCGGAAGCCUGAUGCAGCAACGCCGCGUGCGGGAUGACGGCCUUCGGGUUGUAAACCGCUUUCAGCAGGGGCGAAGCUUUUGUGACGGUACCUGCAGAAGAAGCACCGGCUAACUACGUG